Molecule: long non-coding RNA, 363 nt
Filed under: Eucalyptus grandis
Lineage: Eukaryota; Viridiplantae; Streptophyta; Magnoliopsida; Myrtales; Myrtaceae
Description: long non-coding RNA (EGRA_LNC001129)
Source: RNAcentral
UGAUAUUGACGGUACGAGGGAUGGUCUUUUAAGGAAUUCUUUGGGUGGUUUCCUGCAAUGGACAGUCAGAGAUCGAUCUACGUCUAAGUGAAUAUCUCGUCCGAGAUGCCUAUGGUUUUCUGUUCCUCUUCGAUUUGCAUUGCGGUCUCUCUUUCUCGCUGUUUCUUCUUUCGGGGCCCUAAAUUCGCGAAGUCAUUUGUUACUGCAAACGAUUAGCUAAAUAUUCCUGUGUUUCUUGUGCUCUCUAGGUGUACGUGCCGACUAAUAGUUUCUAAUAGUUUUCAAAAAUAAUUUGAAAUUCCCAAAAGUGCAAAUAGCUUGCAAAAUCUUCUAUCUAAAUUUUUAUAAAAAUUUAAUGUUGCC